Long non-coding RNA from Etheostoma spectabile (orangethroat darter), 331 nucleotides. RefSeq lists it as uncharacterized. The record is from RefSeq and is a predicted model, not a curated record. NCBI's taxonomy places the organism in Eukaryota, Metazoa, Chordata, Actinopteri, Perciformes, Percidae. The transcript has 2 exons.
UUUUUUCAAAUCAGACUUAGACCACUUCCAGAUGUAGUCCUAAAUCGGACCCAGGUCUGAUUUUUUUUCAAUGCGGCAGCAGUGUGAACAACCAAGCCGGAUUUGAUGUAACUUUUACGUCAAUCUACAUCGACAUUUGUCAUAAGUAUGCGCCGGCGGGAGUUAGCCCCAUAGACUAUAUACUAGCCUUCAAAAUGGAGAACAGUGAUGGAGCAAGUCAAUGGAGGGAGAGUGACGUGUUAGACCUAAUUAUUGUAUGGGGAGAUACUUCAAUUCAAUCAAAACUAGAAGGAUCAUAACGUAACCGCUCUGUUUUAAAUAAAAAAAAAUA